CAGUUCAUAUUUGACAUAUCCAUUUAAUCCCUGUCCAUGACACUUUUUGAGGUGCUACACGAAGAGGAAUUUGCGCCAGUGAAGAACGUGAAUGGCACAACCUAUGACACCUGAUGCUACUCCAACUGCAUAGCGGAUGGGUAAUUUCUCACCAUUUCCUGUACCCAGAAACUUGUAGAAUUAAAUUACAAGUCAGGCCUUUCAACAUAGAACUUUUAUGAUCAUCUUUCUCA
Molecule: long non-coding RNA, 233 nt
Organism: Triticum aestivum (bread wheat)
Lineage: Eukaryota; Viridiplantae; Streptophyta; Magnoliopsida; Poales; Poaceae
Exons: 2
Source: RefSeq, a predicted model, not a curated record